AGAGUUUGAUCCUGGCUCAGGAUGAACGCUGGCGGCGUGCUUAACACAUGCAAGUCGAACGAGAAUCAACGGAUUGAGGAUUCGUCCAAAUGAAGUUGAGGAAAGUGGCGGACGGGUGAGUAACGCGUGAGGAACCUGCCUCGGAGUGGGGAAUAACAGUUGGAAACAGCUGCUAAUACCGCAUAAUGCAACGAAGUCGCAUGACUUUGUUGCCAAAGAUUUAUCGCUCUGAGAUGGCCUCGCGUCUGAUUAGCUGGUUGGCGGGGUAACGGCCCACCAAGGCGACGAUCAGUAGCCGGACUGAGAGGUUGGCCGGCCACAUUGGGACUGAGACACGGCCCAGACUCCUACGGGAGGCAGCAGUGGGGAAUAUUGGGCAAUGGGCGCAAGCCUGACCCAGCAACGCCGCGUGAAGGAAGAAGGCUUUCGGGUUGUAAACUUCUUUUGUCAGGGACGAACAAAUGACGGUACCUGACGAAUAAGCCACGGCUAACUACGUGCCAGCAGCCGCGGU
RNAcentral lists this ribosomal RNA (514 nucleotides) under uncultured chicken cecal bacterium. RNAcentral describes it as "bacterial SSU rRNA". It matches the Rfam family "Bacterial small subunit ribosomal RNA", at positions 8 to 521 of the family's 1533-position model. The record is from RNAcentral.